Helianthus annuus (common sunflower) is the source of this 728-nucleotide RNA transcript. It is a transcript of the gene named ethylene-responsive transcription factor-like protein At4g13040, with no coding region annotated. The transcript is spliced from 5 exons. The record is from RefSeq and is a predicted model, not a curated record. NCBI's taxonomy places the organism in Eukaryota, Viridiplantae, Streptophyta, Magnoliopsida, Asterales, Asteraceae.
GUAACAAGGAGGUAACCUGAAGUCGACCUUCAUUAAUAGAGUGAAGAUGUAUUGGUUGGCGGGACCGCUUGCUGGCCACUUGUCUACCACCGAAUAAGCUUAGACCUCUUCGCAAAGGCAAAAGUACGGAUUGUGUUGUUUGUCUUUUCAGGAGGAUAACAAGCAGCCCAUUCAACAUCCAGGUCUAUCUCUCAAUUUCUUUUAUAGUUUUUGUCAUUGUUCAAAAGGCGGAAAUGACAUAGAAGAAAACACUUUGAGAACCAAGAACCUUGCAUAAUGAGAGGGGUAUAUUAUAAGAACAUGAAAUGGCAACCUGCCAUUAAAGUGGACAAAAAACAAAUCCAUCUAGGUACAGUUGGUUCCCAACAAGAAGUUGCUUGUUUCUAUGACAGGGCCACUUUCAUGUGUGGUAGAGAACCGAACUUUGAGCUCACGACUAAGGAGAAGGACGAACUCAGUAAACUGGGUUGGGAUGAUUUCUUAACCAUGACUUGGUCAACAAUCAACAGCAAAAAACAUCAGAGACGGGUUAGUUCCCGAAUGAAGUUCGAGCAUCCGUCACAUAACAGCAGUGACCCGCAUACGAAGGCGGAUCAAGGAGGAAAGAGUUUCUCAGGAUCUGAAGAUGUUGAGACAUUGGGUUCCUGAUGAAUUAAAACUUUAUUAUUGCCAUUUCUUUUGUUAAAACAUUAUAAUCUUUAGCUCUAUUUUUAACAAGUUUUAUGUUA